This 471-nucleotide ribosomal RNA is filed under the name uncultured bacterium. RNAcentral describes it as "bacterial SSU rRNA". It matches the Rfam family "Bacterial small subunit ribosomal RNA", at positions 335 to 797 of the family's 1533-position model. The record is from RNAcentral.
ACUCCUACGGAGGCAGCAGUGGGGAAUAUUGCACAAUGGGCGCAAGCCUGAUGCAGCCAUGCCGCGUGUAUGAAGAAGGCCUUCGGGUUGUAAAGUACUUUCAGCAGUGAGGAAGGUGGGUAUGUUAAUAGCAUACUCAUUUGACGUUAGCUGCAGAAGAAGCACCGGCUAACUCCGUGCCAGCAGCCGCGGUAAUACGGAGGGUGCGAGCGUUAAUCGGAAUUACUGGGCGUAAAGCGCAUGCAGGUGGUUUGUUAAGUCAGAUGUGAAAGCCCGGGGCUCAACCUCGGAAUUGCAUUUGAAACUGGCAAACUAGAGUACUGUAGAGGGGGGUAGAAUUUCAGGUGUAGCGGUGAAAUGCGUAGAGAUCUGAAGGAAUACCGGUGGCGAAGGCGGCCCCCUGGACAGAUACUGACACUCAGAUGCGAAAGCGUGGGGAGCAAACGAGGAUUAGAUACCCUGGUAGGCUCU